Molecule: long non-coding RNA, 1478 nt
Organism: Meriones unguiculatus (Mongolian gerbil)
Lineage: Eukaryota; Metazoa; Chordata; Mammalia; Rodentia; Muridae
Exons: 3
Source: RefSeq, a predicted model, not a curated record
CUCCUACCACCUCCUCCCACUCCUCUCCCCUCUUCAGGAGCUGGGUGGAGCCCCCUGCGUUACCCCCGCAGUCUGUGGUUCCCAGCUGCGCUUCUAACAGGGGUUUCUGGAUGCACCAUGGGCCCCCUGGCAGGGGCUAGGGCCCCUUGGAGCACGGAAAGAAGUGUUGGCAGCUCUGACGUUUCUUGACGUUCCUGGACCAAGGCACCGAGACAGAGGAGUCUCUCACUGAAGAUAAAGCAAAAACAAGUCACAUCAAUACAAAAAGAAAAGACUGGCCCUACCUUCCUUGAAAGCCCUAUAAUGAGUUCACCAGAUAGAUGUUAACCAUGCGAGGACCUGUCAGCAUCUCUUAGCCUCUAGACCCAUAGCCCAAGUCAUGGCUUAUCAUACUCCAGGAAGAUGAGGGAGACGCCUGAUGUCCGAUGUGAGGAUUCUACAGGGGACAACUCGUGUCAUUCAUAACACUUUAUAAUGACAAGAUUUCUGCUUGAGAUUGAAUUCCAGACCAAGUGAAAAUUGAGAGUGUAUGGAAAUUGCUGAUGUUUGCAGCACCAGUGAUUAUGGAUUUGGUACUGUGGUGGUGGGUAUUAAUUAUCAACUUAACAGAAUCCAGAAGCCCUUGGAAAAGGGGCUCCUGGGGAGUGCUUCAUCACAGCCACGAGAAAAGAACAAAGGCAGUGGAUAAGUUCAACCAGGAGUGGCUCUCGGUCUGCUAAGUUGGUUGAUGAAAUCCAGCACAACGCUCCCUUCUGUAAAUUGGACUAACAUACCUGAUCGUUGUUGAUGCAGUUGAGGAGGGCGUACCCUAAAGUUUGAUGAGAAAAUAACAACACAAUCUUCCAGAAGACAGUCCUUUCACCCAUUGCUAAGAGGGGCACUGGUGGUCUUGGAAGCCCUGGACUCGCUGUCCUCUGCAGGUGUGGUGAUGGUGUGAGAGGGAACUGAUGGAAUAAGCUCUUGUAUUACAGUAGUAAUAGUGGAAUUCCAGAGCGGAAGAGGCCAACCCCAUUGGCAGCACUAGCCAACAGAAGGUGAGGAGCGUCACUCUAACUGGCAGUGACCCAGACAAUCUGUAGGUUUGUACAGCCUGCUAAUAUUUUCCCUGAGCUGAGAAACUACAACUUGAAAAGUCACUAAAACGGAGGCCUCAUUUGAACUACGACCCAGUUCACCAGUGCCUCUUAGGUGAGGAGAUCUUGAUAAAGGAUCCUGCUGCAGAUAUACUGUGCACCUUGCUCCUGUUCUCCACCAGCAGACCUGUGGCCGCUUACCAAGGAAACAGAGAUAUCUAGGCUCUGGUGGGGUACUAUUGCCUGGUUUUGUGAUGAUUCUAAGCCCUGCAGAUCUGCAGAGGCAGACCACUGUCCUCAGUGAGUUAUGAAAGACAGUUUAACAACGGAGACAGGGGCUUACAGCCUCAAUUCCAAUGUGUAGGAGGAUGAGGUCAUUAAACACGUCCUUACAAUAAAAAAAAA